CGUAGGGUGCAAGCGUUGUCCGGAAUUAUUGGGCGUAAAGAGCUCGUAGGCGGUCUGUCGCGUCUGCUGUGAAAUCCCGAGGCUCAACCUCGGGCCUGCAGUGGGUACGGGCAGACUAGAGUGCGGUAGGGGAGAAUGGAACUCCUGGUGUAGCGGUGGAAUGCGCAGAUAUCAGGAAGAACACCGAUGGCGAAGGCAGUUCUCUGGGCCGUAACUGACGCUGAGGAGCGAAAGCGUGGGAGCGAACAGGAUU
This 253-nucleotide ribosomal RNA is filed under the name uncultured bacterium. RNAcentral describes it as "partial 16S ribosomal RNA". It matches the Rfam family "Bacterial small subunit ribosomal RNA", at positions 526 to 779 of the family's 1533-position model. The record is from RNAcentral.